GCGAAAUUAUAAGAAUUGAAUGUCACUUUGUGUGUUUGCACUGAAAAAUGAACGAUGUCAUUAAAACCCGGAUCUGUUUAUCCAUUAAACUCGCUCUUUCACACGAGUUUGAACAACGCUUUGACAUCGUUCAUUUUUCAGUGCAAACACACAAAGUGACAUUCAAUUCUUAAAUGUUGAUACCGUUCACACACGCUCAACUUUUAAGGGAUAAUUCAAUGUAUGAUUUUUUUAGAUAUACACAAAAAUGAUUGUGAGUAUCAUUUUUGUGCGUUAUGGAAAGAUAACAAAUGUCCCUAUGAACAUUGGAUUAAAAUGAACAUAUCUGUAUAUUGUCUGUGAUAACACAAUGUUGAUACCGUACAAACACGCUUAACUACACGACUUUUUAAGAGAUAAUUGAAGUUAUUAUUCUAUCUAAAUAACACAUGAAUGAUUGUGAGUAUCAUUUUUGUGUGCUGUGGAGAGAUAAAAAAUGUCCCCAUGUACAGUGGAUUAUAAAUGAAUACAUCUGUAUAUUGUCUGUGAUAGCACAAUGUUGAUACCGUACAAACUACUCAACUUUUUAAUCUUGAGAUACUAGUAAUUGAAUGUAUGAUUCUUUCUUAAUAAACACAUAAAUGAUUGUGAGUAUCAUUUUUGUGUGUUAUGGAGAGAUGAAAAUGUCCCCAUGUACAGUGGAUCAUAGAUGAAUAUAUCAUAUCUGUGAUAACACAAUGUUGAUACCGUACAAACACGCUCAACUUUUUAAUCUUGAAAUAAUUGAAUGUAUGAUUCUAGUAUCUAAAUAACACAUGAAUGAUUGUGAGUAUCAUUUUGUGUGCUGUGGAGAGAUACAAAAUGUCCCCUUGUACAGUGGAUUAUAAAUGAAUACACCUGUAUAUUGUCUGUGAUAACACAAUGUUGAUACCGUACACACACGCUUAACUGUUUGACUUGUGUAUACUAUUUAUAGAACAUUCAUUUAUCCGGAGGUCUUCAUUGCUAACGGUCUGGUACAACGGGGUUUUGCAGAAGAUGUUAUGUCUCCUGGGGUUCCUUACAUAUGCCCCUCACUCAUUCUAACGCGCCCUUCUCUUCUCCACAAAUGAGUCUGUUCAACACGUCCUUUAUCCUCAGGCAGUGUAGGAAGCUUUAUGUUAGUUCUGGGCUGAAGACUAGGUCGGGGACAAGUAACCAUUUCUCAGCAAGGCCGAGCGCCAGGUAUUACCAUUCUUCUUCCUUUACAUUUCAUUUAUUGAGACACUAUCAUAUAUAUUUUACAAGUCAAAAAACGUUUUCAUAACACAUGUGUCUAUCUUUGUAACAUCUGAUUCUAUCUGUUUUUAUGUUCUCUGCUGUUUUUUCCCUUGCUGUUCUCUGCUUUUGCUGGCAAAUUUGACACCAAACCAUUUGCUUCAUACACUUUUGUAUUUCCUGAAUACCGAAGAAAACAGAGCUAAAUUUUUCCCGAUGAAAAUUUCCUAUAGCUGUCCUAAACAGGCAAAGUUAAAGAUGUUUGCUUUUCUGGUUUAGAUAUGAACAAAAGACUUUAAAAUUCGUCAUUCUCUUUAUUUUAAACCGACCGACCGACCAAAACUUAAUAACACGCGACACACGAAACACAAAAAUAUUCUGCCUUAAUUAUGACACAUUAUAGUUAUGCAUAUAUAAAUCUAAUAAAUAUAGGAAACCGCAUUGUUAGGAGAGCCAGUAUUGUUUCUAUGUUUCUAGACAAAAACAGAGGUCAACUCUAACUGUAAAUGUUACACUUUCUCAGGGGAAUAUUGUGUUUCCUAUAAUACUGCUUCACUGAAUUAUGUAUGCAUUGUGUGUUAAGAAGGAUACGGCAAUCGAUGUUUCGACAGACAUGUGCCUGAACGUAUUCAGCACACUUCAACUGAUGCAGCAUGCUGUUGGUGGAUUCUGGUAUCCGCUGCUUCCUGUCUGUCACUGAUGCUGCAGCCAUACAGGGGUAUCGGAUGUGUUGGCUGACACAACGACCAAUGGUUCAAUCCUCAGGAAUCGGAUGUCUGAUAUGAUGUCCUUCAUCGUUUCCUUUAAUGAAAAGUACUAUCCUGUGUGGAGUUUUGACAGCAUUGUCUCUGUAACGCGUGGAUGCGACCUUUCAUCACUUCACAUAUUUAGCACAUCACUGAAUAUACAAUAGCUUAGAAUGUACCCAUCUGUUCAUACCUUGUACAGUACCUGAUACCAUUUUGGUCAAAUACCUUUCAAUUUUUUUAUUUAUAGGACGGAUUUUUAUCAUAAGGACGCCACGUCUCUUAAUAUAUUUAUGGCUACAUUUGUUAUUAUUUAACUUGUAUAGGUAGUGUAGUGUAAAUAGAUAAGCUUUCUUUGUGUUGUCCUUCUCACAGGGUCCAUGCUUACUGAGCAACAGAUAAUGAAGAAGCAGGUGCUACAAAGACCGCAGUGACACCCGUGUUGUUGUGCGCAGCCCAGUCUCACACGAGACAACAUGGUUCGCUACUGGAGACAAACGCAAGGGGCGCAUCUGUAACUACAUUGAAAUACACACACCUGGAAACAACUGGCAGGUUCUGGCAUGGCAGUCCGUUUCGAGAACACCUGGUGUCAUCAGUGAUCUACACCGAUACCUAAGUUUGCCCCUGUUCGUGAGAUGUACCAAGUGCCAAAUAUCGCAAAGGUACACGUUACAAUGUGCGAGAUGCUGCCCUCUCCCUGUCCGUGAAGUAUGUAAAACUGUGUGAAGAAAUACAACUGAUAGUUCCUUAAAUCUUUUAGGGGCGCAUAUCUAGCUGCCUUGGAAUACACACAUCCAUGAUACUACCUGAAGUGUCUGGCAGGAUGGCCUGUUUCCAGAAAAACCCAGAGUGGUCAACGAUUAACUGGACGCCAUCAUGGAAAACAUGUGGGACCUGACAUAAUCAGAGUAGCCUCCCUUUGUCAAACCGGUAUACACAAUCUGGAUUCUGUGUGAUACCGUCGUUGAUGUCACACAUUCCAACGUACGCUUUGUUUCUUCUGCAUCUAUUACGGGUUUUCCAAGAAACCCUAGGUUGGAAUCAGAUUGGCCAAACAUCAGCAUCGUAAUAUGUUUAUGUAUACAGUAACUGAAAGGAACCACUAGAUUCAGAGUACAAAUAGAUGUGUCAAGUAAGGCGUCAAUGCAGGACGAAUGCAUAGGACAUUUUGAAGAACGCGUGUCCCAUCAACUGUGACGCUGGAGAAGCGGGCUUCAGUCCUGUCCCACUCUGAAGGACGCCAACACAUGUGGUGCCACCUUUGACAAGUGACUAUGAGAAUUCAUACAUUGUGCCGUGGGGAUAUCAUCACGUUUCACUCAGCGUCUUAAAUCUUUUAUGGACUCUUUGUCUGCAAAAUUAAUCAACAAAUUCGCUAUGUUGUGCCAUUAUGUAAUGCAUUAUUUAGAAACUGUGUAUCAUAUUUCUUAUCUGUACCACAUUUUAAUUUUGUGUACUAAGUGACGGCCUUACUCGAUCGUGCAAAUGCAAAAAUUGAUUAGGCGGUGAUAUAUUUUGUUACUUGUCUAAUUGCAUUCAUUACUCCGCAUAGCUGUAUCAUACCAUAUAGAGGUUGAUCUACUGUGUUCAACUAUAACCUUUUCAUCAGGUUUAGAUUGUAUCAUGUAGGCCAUAAAACGUAUAUACAUUUAGUUCAAAAGAUACAUGGAUCUGCAGAAUAUGUAUUUUUCAAUUCUAGGUUUAUACAAUAAACACAAUCAUAUCCAUUUAGUUCAAAAGAUACACGGAUGUUCAGAAUAUGGGUUUUUUUUUAAUUCAAGGUGUAUAUAAUAAAUACAAUCAUGUCUUA
Molecule: long non-coding RNA, 3795 nt
Organism: Haliotis rubra (blacklip abalone)
Lineage: Eukaryota; Metazoa; Mollusca; Gastropoda; Lepetellida; Haliotidae
Exons: 5
Source: RefSeq, a predicted model, not a curated record